CAUGCAUGUCUCAGUACAAGCAUCCUUGUACCGUGAAACUGCGAAUGGCUCAUUACAACAGUUAUAGUUUAUUUGAUCGUGCGGAGCUACGUGGAUAACCGUAGGAAUUCUAGAGCUAAUACAUGCACCGUCGCCGAAGAUCUUUGGUUAGACUUCGGCGGGAUUUAUUAGAUCAAAAACCAAUCGCUUCUUUCGUUUUUUUCGAGUAGAGGCGUGGUGGGAUGAAUCAUAAUAACUUAACCGAAUCGUAUGGCCAACAUUAGGCCGACGAUAAAUCAUUCAAAUUUCUGCCCUAUCAACUUUCGAUGGUAGGGUAGUGGCCUACCAUGGUGUUGACGGGUGACGGAGAAUUAGGGUUCGAUUCCGGAGAGGGAGCCUGAGAAACGGCUACCACAUCCAAGGAAGGCAGCAGGCGCGCAAAUUACCCAAUCCUGAUUCAGGGAGGUAGCGACAAGAAAUAACGAUAGUGGGCUCGUUCGAGUCCGCGCAUCGGAAUGAGGAUAAUUUACACCCCUUCUCGAGGAUCCAUUGGAGGGCAAGCCUGGUGCCAGCAGCCGCGGUAAUUCCAGCUCCGAUAGCGUAUACUAAAGUUGUUGCAGUUAAAAAGCUCGUAGUCGAAUGAAGGUUUCUUGUAUAGCGCGGACGUCUAGGUGUAACUUAGAUUAGUUUGCGCACAAGAACCUCCCUUGUGUGUCUCAGAGGAGCAAAUAUUUAUUUAUUUUGAUCCAUUUGCGACACACACAUUACUGUGAACAAAAUAGAGUGUUCAUGGCAGGUCAAUUUAGGCUUGA
This 791-nucleotide ribosomal RNA is filed under the name uncultured Cryptophyta. Its description in RNAcentral is "bacterial SSU rRNA". It matches the Rfam family "Eukaryotic small subunit ribosomal RNA", at positions 50 to 798 of the family's 1831-position model. The record is from RNAcentral. Lineage: Eukaryota; Cryptophyceae.